This 394-nucleotide ribosomal RNA is filed under the name uncultured bacterium. RNAcentral's name for it is "bacterial SSU rRNA". It matches the Rfam family "Bacterial small subunit ribosomal RNA", at positions 954 to 1343 of the family's 1533-position model. The record is from RNAcentral.
GCACAACGCGAAGAACCUUACCAGGCCUUGACAUGCAGAGAACUUUCCAGAGAUGGAUUGGUGCCUUCGGGAACUCUGACACAGGUGCUGCAUGGCUGUCGUCAGCUCGUGUCGUGAGAUGUUGGGUUAAGUCCCGUAACGAGCGCAACCCUUGUCCUUAGUUACCAGCACGUUAUGGUGGGCACUCUAAGGAGACUGCCGGUGACAAACCGGAGGAAGGUGGGGAUGACGUCAAGGUCAUCAUGGACCCUUACGACCUGGGCUACACACGUGCUACAAUGGGGCGUACAAAGGGUUGCCAAACCGCGAGGUGGGGCUAAAUCCCAUAAAAACGUCUCGUAGUCCGGAUUGGAGUCUGCAACUCGACUCCAUGAAGUCGGAAUCGCUAGUAAUC